GUUUACGCAAGUCUACAGGAGAGAGUGAGAGGGAGAGAGAGAGAGAGAGAGUGUGCUGUGUCUGUGCUGUAUUAACUGUGCACGUUUUGUUGUUUGUGUGAGUGUGCAUGCGAGUGCGCCUCAUUUGACUAUACAUCCAGGCCCUGGGAGUAUUUGCCUGUCUGAUCACCUCAUGUGAGUCUAAGAAGGGAAGCCAUGUGUGACUAACACGCACUUCAGAGUUGAACUAAUUGUGUCAUUUUUAACAUGAAUCUGUGCUUGCCCACAUUUUAUUCACUCUCUUUCCUCCCGCUCUCCCCUGAGCCACACAAUGAAUGCAGAGUGUUGCAGGCCCCUGCGUCGACCCAACUCUGAAGGAAUUUUCAAUGCUGCAUGCAGGAAUAGAUGCGUACAGUCGACUCACUCAGCCUGGUCGUCAUCUGAAACGUGAGGCCUCCAAUCACUGCAACAAGGCAGCGUGACGGCAGUCGGGUCAGAGUGUUCAAAGGCAGCGGGAGGACGUGGCGGGCUCCUCACCACCAAGCACAGAGGUGGAUAUUGUGGUGGAUGUUUAUAAACUACUUGUGCUUGCAGGCCGAAUGCACAAUUGUCUUGUCUGA
This 599-nucleotide long non-coding RNA is filed under the name Betta splendens (Siamese fighting fish). Its description in RNAcentral is "lncRNA (ENSBSLG00000013092.1)". The record is from RNAcentral. Lineage: Eukaryota; Metazoa; Chordata; Actinopteri; Anabantiformes; Osphronemidae.